UGUAACUCAGCCUGGGGACGUGCCAGACCGCGUAGGUGUAACUCAGCCUGGGGACGUGUCAGACCGCGUAGGUGUAACUCAGCCUGGGGACGUGCCAGACCGCGUAGGUGUAACUCAGCCUGGGGACGUGCCAGACCGCGUAGGUGUAACUCAGCCUGGGGACGUGUCAGACCGCGUAGGUG
This is a long non-coding RNA of Brienomyrus brachyistius, 182 nucleotides long. RefSeq lists it as uncharacterized. The record is from RefSeq and is a predicted model, not a curated record. NCBI's taxonomy places the organism in Eukaryota, Metazoa, Chordata, Actinopteri, Osteoglossiformes, Mormyridae. The transcript has 3 exons.